Ictalurus punctatus (channel catfish) is the source of this 1874-nucleotide long non-coding RNA. The record is from Ensembl. NCBI's taxonomy places the organism in Eukaryota, Metazoa, Chordata, Actinopteri, Siluriformes, Ictaluridae.
AGGUCUUGGAAAUAACGAGGAGCCGAGAUGAAAGUCACUAAUUAAACUCGUAAACCUUUAAACCCAUAUUGCGAACCAUUCUGAGUCGCAUACAGUGUGUCGAAUGCAUUUAGAUUUAGAUAACUGCUCGCAUCUGCUCACAUUGUGAAGUUUGGAAAUGAUUUUUUAUUUUUUUUCAAUGAUUACAAAAGAAAGAAGAAGAAGGAAAAACAAAACAAAAAACAAACCCCAGAUGCGAUGGUACAGCCAGACCUGUCAAAGGUUGGUCUCAAAUUCCCAUAAUUCAUAUGGACUUGGUAAAGAGGAGAGGAAAAUACAUGCUCCUAUGUGUCUUGGAUUUCCUAGAUGUGUCGUUUUGUGUUGUUUUGUUAGAUCGAGUUCUCUGACUGUCUAAUCCGAACUUUAAAAAGGGACUGGAAGACUGUCGAUAUUUUUAAAACGGGAGAAUUACUGCUUGAUUUUUGUUACAGCAAGACACUACAGGUGAAUAAAAUAUUAGAGAUCGCGAUUAAUCUUCGCCAUUUGGUUGCUGAUAUUCUUUGUAUUGGAACUUACGGGGGAAGUACAUUUAUUUGUGCAAACAAGGCUUCGUCUAAAUAAAUAUAUCUAUCAAACAAUCUAGUUUUUUUGGUUUACGUUCGAGUUGAAAUGUUUUGUUUAUUUCACUGUGAAGACUUCCUCUCAAGAGAACGGAAAAUAUCAUUUCUUUAUCGUUUAACCAAGAGAACUGUUAUGCAAAAAAAAAAGAAGCUAUUUUUCAGUAUAAAAUCUAACGGAAAUCUAACAAUUAUCAUCAUCAAUAUUUUGAGGAGUUCAAAUAUAAAUAGGGAUCGAAAUGAAGAUGUAAAAAUUUCAUGAAUGCAGGUCAUCUAGAAAAUGAGAUUUUUGGCUUCUGUAUAUAGGGGGAAAUGAUUUUCAGAAAAAUAAUGUGUUUUGAAAAUGCACUGUGGUUUAAUGUGUUUCCCCUCUAGUUAGUGUGAUUUAUAAUGUUUAAAAAGGUCUCGCAUGUCACGUGAGUUGGCAAAACCAUUCAUUUAUUUAUUUAUUUUUUGUUGAGUUUUAAUAUUUGUAUGACUACAAUAGAAGGGAAAACCUCAAACGUAAUUGAUCCAAAAAUAUGAAAGACUGACUUGUCCAAAAUGGUCAUUUUUCCCUGUAGUGUCUUGCCUUAAUUAGAGGAUGUACAGCAUUUGUAUGCAAGUGGCCUAUGCCAUAGACGGGCUCUGAAUGUAUACUAACGGGAGGUUAUUUUUACAUAAACUCUAAUCUGUUUAAAAAAAAAACAAAAAAAAAAAAACAGAGUGUGUGACCAGCAUGUUCAGGUAUCAGAUGACACACAGGAUUGUGAAAUAAUUAUCAGAUGCUAGCAGAUGGGAGACAAUUUAAAAAAAAAAAAAAAAAAGAAGAGGGGGAAAAAAAAGGUUUGUUGUGUGAUGGCAGGUCUGAGGAUGAACAGCAGGAAGACAGGAUAAUGGGGGGAUGGAGGAGGAGAGGGAUGAGAAAGCCCUACUCUUCAUUCUGCUCCAUUGUGUCUGUUAGAGCACCUCACUUUGUGUAGACAAGUGUUCUCUAGUAAGCUGUGUGUGUGGUAGUGUGCGUGAUGCUGAAGCUUCCCUCAGCUCUAUUCAUAUGGAUGCUCUAUUCGCCCGUGUGUGUGUGUGUGUGUGUGUGUGUGUGUGUGUGUGUGUAUAUGUGUGUGUCCUCAACCGUACACUGUCGCCUCACCUGAAUCUAAUAUUCGCGUGUUAGUUAGUUUCCUCCUGUGUAUGCACUAAUAGAACAUAUCUGUACACACUCAUGGCCAAAUGUAUAUACUGAAUGUAAUAAACUGGGAUGUGGAGGCCUUGAGGUUCAAAGAAAUAAAGAGUUUAUGG